CGCAGGGUAGGGAAGAGGACAUCCCGCGUGGCUCAUACCCACGAGAUCGCAGGUUCAAAUCCUGCCCCUGCAACCA
RNAcentral lists this transfer RNA (76 nucleotides) under Rhizobium leguminosarum. RNAcentral describes it as "tRNA-Met". It matches the Rfam family "tRNA". From Rfam's summary of the family: Transfer RNA (tRNA) molecules are approximately 80 nucleotides in length. Their secondary structure includes four short double-helical elements and three loops (D, anti-codon, and T loops). RNAcentral also lists the same sequence under 1 other name. Lineage: Bacteria; Pseudomonadati; Pseudomonadota; Alphaproteobacteria; Hyphomicrobiales; Rhizobiaceae. The record is from RNAcentral.